CGGGAGAUGUCGGAGCGGUUGAACGUGCCGGUCUUGAAAACCGGUGAGGGUAAUACCUCCGGGGGUUCGAAUCCCCCUCUCCCGGCCA
This 88-nucleotide transfer RNA is filed under the name Sulfurovum riftiae. RNAcentral's name for it is "tRNA-Ser". It matches the Rfam family "tRNA". Rfam says of the family: Transfer RNA (tRNA) molecules are approximately 80 nucleotides in length. RNAcentral also lists the same sequence under 4 other names. The record is from RNAcentral. Lineage: Bacteria; Pseudomonadati; Campylobacterota; Epsilonproteobacteria; Campylobacterales; Sulfurovaceae.